Non-coding RNA from Arachis ipaensis, 3598 nucleotides. The record is from RefSeq and is a predicted model, not a curated record. NCBI's taxonomy places the organism in Eukaryota, Viridiplantae, Streptophyta, Magnoliopsida, Fabales, Fabaceae.
CUCAUCCUCAUAUAUAUGUUUGUUUGUUCACAUUUUUCACUAAAAAAAUCAAAAAUUAAACAAAUGAGAAGCAUUAGAGAUGGAACGAAGCAGAGAAGAAAACACGAUAGAGGGAGAAGGAGAAGAGGGUGCCGACAAACCCGCAUCCACUGCAGAACUGCAUCACAACUGCUCCUUCGCAGCCGGGCAGCAGGUGCUGUGAAUGUGAUCAUUAUGACGCUGUUGUACGUAGGGGAUUUGGACCCUGAGAUCAACGAGAGUGGUUUCGAUUUAAUCAGGAAUGAGCAAAAACAAACAACAAGGGGAAGAAUGACCUUUUGUGGUACUGGUAUGAACGUCUUCUGUGGGAUUGAAGCCUGAGAUCAGGAUCUCUCUUAUUUUCCUCUGAGUUCUUAAAAUCGAAGUAUAAGCGGAGGAGGGAGUGUUUUAGCACCAAAAGCAUCUCCUGAGGCUUAACAAGGAUUGUUAUGAUGUUCUUAUAGAAGAAUAAGAAUGUUGCUGCUUUGACACCUAAAGCUAAGGUUAGAAAGUUGUCAGUUUUGAAAAGGACUGAAAAAUCCUUGAGGAAAGAGAAUUUAUAAUGUUAGGUAGUCGCACCAAAGACAAAGGUUAUGGCCAGGAAUCAUUGACCAAGAAUCAUUCACUUUCAUCUUCAUUUAAUAGAAAGUCAGGUUCAUUUUUUCCAGGGCAGAAACAUUGGUAGCCUUGAGUGGCAAGGGAGUAAUAAGGACCGCUAGAUAUCUGACGUCUUCAACGGAUAUCACAGAUGAGCACAUUGGAAUUUGCUCUUUUUUUGUGUGAAACAAAAUCUCCAUUAUCUUAGAGAGCAGAAAAAUCCUUCAUCAUUAGCUUUGUAUCCAGCAACUAAGAACUGCAUAUCAACAUAUGAGAAUAUCACUCAUGGCAUUCAUUAUGCUCCAACUUGGUUUAUUCUGAUGCACCGGUUGGAAAUGAACCAUUGGCUUUGGACAUGGGAAGCAUGGGGAAGGGUCAGGUACGGAUUAAUGGAGAGAGCAUAUGAAGAUACUGAUUGUAGAAUUGAAAGAGGGGUUGUUCUUCAUAAGUUCAAAGUUGCUCAUGUAUUUUUUAUCACAAAUUAGAAUUUCUUUAAAUCACAAAUUAGGAUUAAUAAAAGUAUGUGCUAUGUUUUUUUUUUUUUUGUAUUAUUUGAACUUUUCAGCAUAUUGCAAAUCUUGCUGCAACAAAACUUUGGUUAUUACCUAUAGCUGCGUUUAACUGAUUAUAUUUUGUUAUAGGUUGUUGAUGAGCGUGACUAGUAGAAAAACACAUGUAGCAAGAUGUGUCAAUAAGCAUUUUCAUUAAGCUAAGCAGGACUCAUCUUCCUGAGUGGAAAGCUGCAUGGAAUGCAAAGAUAAUAAUAAUAUCUUGAUCCCAUCGUUAUUAGAAGCACCAGAAAUUAAAUUUAGGACUAACAAAUAGAUUAUGGAUUUUGUGCACUUUUCACUUUAAGCGGAUUACUAAGUUACUUAAACAUCAGAUUAGAAAUUUGGUCCCUCAAAAAUAUACUUGACAUGAGUUUAAAAAGAUUUAUGGUAUUUUCACUCUUAAUUGACAACUUUGAAUUCUUUAGAUUAAUAGUUUGUAUUUUCUUCUUGCUUCUUAUAUUGAGUAUUAGACUCAACCUACAAACUGUGAUGUUGUUUGUGCUGCUCUAGAUUUAAAUUUUCAUGGCCUCCCAACUCUGUUUAUAUAUUUUUUGAAAGUUUAUAUAAUUUUGCUUUGGCUUGCUCUCGAAUAUUGAAAAGUUAUAUUUUUAUUUAAGAUAUGAUAUACAGAAUGUUAUCUCAACUUUCUUAUAAUUUAUUUUUGUUGUAGGUACGAAGAACAGUUGCCAUAGUGCGGGUUGAGCAAGGAAUCAUAAAAGUUGGUGAUGAAAUUGAGGUUUUGAGUAUAAUGCAGGUAUGUCCAUUGAGAUUUUUCCUGGGUUUUGGCUUUUUUUUUUAAUCAAAAUGCCAAUUGAUGAUGAGGUAGGGACAUUCUUCAGGCAAGUCUAAGGUGAAGUAUAUUUAUAAUGAAAGUUGCCUCCCAGAGACAAGCCGCUGAACUUUAAUCUGAUUGAUCAUAUUCUAAUGAUAUUUUUUUAAUCAAAUUGAGUUGACAUGCAUAAGUCCAGUUACUUUGUGAUCAGUAUGGAAAUGUUGCAGCUUUGGAAUUUUCAUGUGAAAAUCCCUUUAUGACAGAUUUAAGAAAUAGAUUUACAAAAGUCAUCAUUAUGGACUAGGAUUUAAGAUUUGCUCAGGUAAGUUAAGGAAUGCUUUUUUUUUUUAAUUAUUACUAGAUGUUGCUUAGAACUCUAUUAUCCACAAAUCUUGGCAUCUUUUGGAGGCUUGCAUAAAUUUAAGUGUCAACACUAUGUCUUUGUUUAGUAGUAAUACCAAGUAAAGGUGCCUAAGUUGUAUGAAAGUGAACAAACUUUUUUUUGUUGACAUUUAGUGUAUCCUCCAGAAGAUAUUUUAGGAUUUUUUAUUACUUGCUAUAUACCUGAUACACUAGAACAAAUUCUUCUUCUGUCCUUUCAAAAACUUUCUCAGUUUAAAUCCCUAAAUGUUAUAUUAUGGACUAUAUGGUCAAUCAAAGUAGGGGAGGACCUUCAUUAGUUUUAAAACAAAACAAGGAGCAUCAUUCUAUAAGCAUGAAUGAGAUGGACGAAAUAGAAUGGAAAGAAGCCGAUAAAUAGAAUUUUGUGGGAAAAAAAUUAAAAUAUAAUACAUAAAACAGAAGUCGCUGCUGGUCCUACUUCUAACACCACUAUAAAAGUUUGUACUACAUAUAUGUAUGUCAUGCUGUAUAUCAUAUAUGUUCUUAUUGUUUUCCUUUAAAUUACACUUAGUAAAGAUGAAAGUAAAAAAUUUGUAAACAAAAACUGAAACUUAAUCUGAACAUAGAGAAUAAUGCUUAUUGAAAUUAAUUAGAAAAAAAUGUGACACUUAGUUUACUAUUUUUUCUCAAUUAAUUUUUUUUCGAGAUAUUUGUAAAAGCUACUUCGAUCCUGUCUUUACUUUCAUUCCUUGAAUAUCUUGGUGAAUAAAUGCAUUAAUUUUGCAGUUGCUUUUUUUUUUUAAUUUGCCAACUGAAGUAUAUAACCACUGGCUAGAGGAGUGGUUGAGGGUAUUCAUGUGAUACUGUUGCUUUGUUAUUAUUUUGUUUAUUCGUGUCCAUCUAUAUCUUAGGAUAAUCAACUCCUCUUUUCUCUUCUACAGUCUUUUUGUGGCAGCUAAUAAGGUUUACCAUGCUUCAACUUCUGAAAGAUUAGAGAUCCACUCUCAUGUUAAAGAUAUUAUUGAUGUUGAUAUUCUGAGCUGGACAAUUAUUAAAGUGAAAAAAGCAAAAGGAAAUUCACAAGAGGUGUUUCAAAGUAAUCAACCAAAAAUUUAUCAGUAAUAAAUUAUCAAUCUUUUAGAAUGAGUACAUUGUAAGUUGACUCUCAAUUUUUUUUUAAUUAAAGAUUAGUGUUUAAGAAUUUUGUGGGUCGAGAGGAGGAAAUCAAAAUUUAUUCAGGAUCAAAUUAGUUUUGAUAAUUCUGUAGUAGUAUUAAACUAAACUUUAGUCCUAAUUAAGUUAGAUCAAAUUUGUUUAU